This 468-nucleotide ribosomal RNA is filed under the name uncultured bacterium. RNAcentral's name for it is "partial 16S ribosomal RNA". It matches the Rfam family "Bacterial small subunit ribosomal RNA", at positions 28 to 507 of the family's 1533-position model. The record is from RNAcentral.
GACGAACGCUGGCGGCGUGCUUAACACAUGCAAGUCGAACGGAAAGGCCCUGCUCUUGUGGGUUGCUCGAGUGGCGAACGGGUGUGUAACACGUGAGUAACCUGCCCUUGUCUUUGGGAUAACUUCAGGGAACUGGGGCGCAUACCGGAUAGGAGCUCCUGAUGCAUGGUGGGGGUUGGUAAAUUUCGGCGGUGGGGGAUCGACUCGCGGGUUAUCAGCUGGUUGGUGGGGUAGUGGCUUACCAAGGCUUUGAAGGGUAGCCGGCAUGAGAGGGUGGCCGGGGACAUUGGGACUGCGAUACGGACCAGACUCCUACGGGAGGCAGCAGGGGGGAAUAUUGCACAGUGGGCGGAAGCGUGAUGCAGCAACGCCGCGUGCGGGAUGACGGCCUACGGGGUGUAAACCGCUUUCGACUGUGACGAAGCGUGAGUGACGGUAAUGGGUAAAGAAGCACCGGCUAACUACGUG